RNAcentral lists this ribosomal RNA (418 nucleotides) under Zhihengliuella alba. RNAcentral's name for it is "bacterial SSU rRNA". It matches the Rfam family "Bacterial small subunit ribosomal RNA", at positions 21 to 436 of the family's 1533-position model. Lineage: Bacteria; Bacillati; Actinomycetota; Actinomycetes; Micrococcales; Micrococcaceae. The record is from RNAcentral.
GGCUCAGGAUGAACGCUGGCGGCGUGCUUAACACAUGCAAGUCGAACGAUGAUGCCCAGCUUGCUGGGUGGAUUAGUGGCGAACGGGUGAGUAACACGUGAGUAACCUGCCCUUGACUCUGGGAUAAGCCCGGGAAACUGGGUCUAAUACUGGAUAUUCAGCUGCUAUCGCAUGGUGGUGGUUGGAAAGGGAUUGACUGGUCAAGGAUGGACUCGCGGCCUAUCAGCUUGUUGGUGGGGUAAUGGCCUACCAAGGCGACGACGGGUAGCCGGCCUGAGAGGGUGACCGGCCACACUGGGACUGAGACACGGCCCAGACUCCUACGGGAGGCAGCAGUGGGGAAUAUUGCACAAUGGGCGCAAGCCUGAUGCAGCGACGCCGCGUGAGGGAUGACGGCCUUCGGGUUGUAAACCUCUUU